UUAUUUUUAAUAAUAUUUUUUAUUUCAAUAAUUUUACUUAUUUAUUUUUCUUUUUUUUUCUUCUCCCUUUUCUUCUGAGCCAUGUGGCUGACAGGGUCUUGGUUCUCUGACUGGGUGUCAGGCCUGAGCCUCUGAGGUGGGAGAGCCAAGUUCAGGACAUUGGACCACCAGAGAUUUCCCAGCCCCAUGUAAUAUCAAACAGCAAAAGCUCUCACAGAGAUCUCCAUCUCAAUGGACAUGAAAGAGAAAGAAAGACUGAAGACCUGUUCCAGAUGGAAGGCAACUAAAGAAACAUGACAAUUAAAUGCAGUUGUGACUCUGGAGAGGAUCCUGAACCAGAAGGGGGAAAAAAUGAAAGUGACCAGAAUGUGGAAAGACCCUGAAAUCAAAACAUGAGAGUAAAUUCUGAAUGAAACUGACAAUAUUUUGUCUGAAGAAGAGAGAAGUCAAGAAGAUUACCAUCAUUGCAAAUAAUGGAUAAGUCAUGACAUAAAAGUGCCAUUCUAGAGCAGCAAAACUAGCUUCAAUAAUGAAAUAGUCAGCAAUAGUGUUUUCAAGUUCAUGAACAGAAGAAGCUUCUAACAAUUAAAACUGGAUAUAAAUGGAACUCAAUGACUCACAAUGUAGUGAACUCCUCAUAGUUGGAAGUGUUAAGCA
Molecule: non-coding RNA, 657 nt
Organism: Kogia breviceps (pygmy sperm whale)
Lineage: Eukaryota; Metazoa; Chordata; Mammalia; Artiodactyla; Physeteridae
Source: RefSeq, a predicted model, not a curated record